GCCGGUGCUUGCACUGGCGAAGUCGAGUGGCGAACGGGUGAGUAACACGUGAGAAACCUACCCUGGAGUGGGGAAUAACUCGAAGAAAUUCGAGCUAAUACCGCAUACCUUCUUACCGUCGAAUGGUGGUUUGAAGAAAGAUUUAUCGCUCUGGGAGGGUCUCGCGGCCUAUCAGCUAGUUGGUGAGGUAACGGCUCACCAAGGCAUCGACGGGUAGCUGGUCUGAGAGGACGAUCAGCCACACUGGAACUGAGACACGGUCCAGACUCCUACGGGAGGCAGCAGUAGGGAAUCUUGCGCAAUGGGCGAAAGCCUGACGCAGCAAUGCCGCGUGCGGGACGAAGGCCCUAGGGUCGUAAACCGCUUUCAGUAGGGACGAAAAUGACGGUACCUGCAGAAGAAGCUCCGGCCAACUACGUGCCAGCAGCCGCGGUGAUACGUAGGGAGCAAGCGUUGUCCGGAAUUACUGGGCGUAAAGGGCUCGUAGGUGGUUGAGUAAGUCAGAUGUGAAAUCUCAGGGCCCAACCCUGAGCGUGCAUUUGAUACUGCUCUGACUAGAGUCCGGUAGGGGAGUGCGGAAUUCCUGGUGUAGCGGUGAAAUGCGCAGAUAUCAGGAGGAACACCGACAGCGAAGGCAGCACUCUGGGCCGGUACUGACACUGAGGAGCGAAAGCAUGGGUAGCAAACAGGAUUAGAUACCCUGGUAGUCCAUGCCGUAAACGUUGGGCACUAGGUGUGGGGAGAACUCAACUCUCUCCGCGCCGUAGCUAACGCAUUAAGUGCCCCGCCUGGGGAGUACGGCCGCAAGGCUAAAACUCAAAGGAAUUGACGGGGGCCCGCACAAGCGGCGGAGCAUGUUGCUU
This 863-nucleotide ribosomal RNA is filed under the name uncultured bacterium. Its description in RNAcentral is "bacterial SSU rRNA". It matches the Rfam family "Bacterial small subunit ribosomal RNA", at positions 72 to 947 of the family's 1533-position model. The record is from RNAcentral.